This 204-nucleotide unclassified non-coding RNA is filed under the name Hevea brasiliensis (rubber tree). The record is from RNAcentral. Lineage: Eukaryota; Viridiplantae; Streptophyta; Magnoliopsida; Malpighiales; Euphorbiaceae.
AGUACCUGCACUGAUUCACCAGUCAGAACUGUCAUGGGAUGCAACUUUAGAUCUGUCAUCGUUUUAUAAAAUUGAUCAGAUAAUCGAGGCAAAAGUUCAUCAACUGGAUUAUGCUCUUGAGCGCAUCUCCUUGUCACUAAGAGAAGUUACGCCAGACCCACUGAUGGAGGCUCUGGAAUCUGUUGUUGGUGAUCAUACAUCUAU